This 228-nucleotide unclassified non-coding RNA is filed under the name Hevea brasiliensis (rubber tree). Lineage: Eukaryota; Viridiplantae; Streptophyta; Magnoliopsida; Malpighiales; Euphorbiaceae. The record is from RNAcentral.
CCCUCUUGCCCGUUUCUGUUUAGAAGGAGGAUAUUUGAAGGGUAUUGAGCUUGCACAGCCAUUGAUCGAUAUAUGGAAGGAUUGAGAGAAACAGAGAGACAGAGAGAUAGAAAAAUGAAACUUCGGUGCGUAUGUGUAUUGGGGUAAGGAGAACAAAUAAGAGGGAAGGAAGGAAGGAAGGAAAGGGAAUGGUAAAUGAAGUUAUGGAGCAAUGUGAAAGGCAGCAAU